RNAcentral lists this ribosomal RNA (497 nucleotides) under uncultured bacterium. Its description in RNAcentral is "partial 16S ribosomal RNA". It matches the Rfam family "Bacterial small subunit ribosomal RNA", at positions 28 to 507 of the family's 1533-position model. The record is from RNAcentral.
GAUGAACGCUGGCGGCGUGCCUAAUACAUGCAAGUCGAGCGAACGGACGAGAAGCUUGCUUCUCUGAUGUUAGCGGCGGACGGGUGAGUAACACGUGGAUAACCUACCUAUAAGACUGGGAUAACUUCGGGAAACCGUAGCUAAUACCGGAUAAUAUUUUGAACCGCAUGGUUCAAAAGUGAAAGACGGUCUUGCUGUCACUUAUAGAUGGAUCCGCGCUGCAUUAGCUAGUUGGUAAGGUAACGGCUUACCAAGGCAACGAUGCAUAGCAGACCUGAGAGGGUGAUCGGCCACACUGGAGGUGAGCCACGGUCCAGACGCCUACGGGAGGCAGCAGUAGGGAAUCUUCCGCAAUGGGCGAAAGCAUGACGGAGCAACGCCACGUGAGUGAUGGAGGUCUUCGGAUCGGAAAACUCUGUUAUUAGGGAAGAACAUAUGUGUAAGUAACUGUGCACAUCUUGACGGUACCUAAUCAGAAAGCCACGGCUAACUACGUG